CCCUGCAUGUGUGCAAGACGUUUCCGUGUGUGUGUUCUCCCUCCGGAAGGGGUUGGUUUCCCGGAGGGGUUAACCAUUUUCCUAGGAUGUGCAGUUGCUGGAGUCCUGGUUCUUUUGUGUUAGUACGGACUGCAUCCGGAAGGUGUUUGGAUGGCAGUGCGUCUGUUUGGGUUCCAGGUUACUUCAGCUGUGUUCUUCAUUGGUGUCUUCCAGCAGCUGCGGCAGAUAAAGAGACAGAGAAGGAAAAGAAGAAAUGAAAAAAUUAGAUUCCAGAAACAGCAACAAUACAAGGAAUGCCAAUUAUGACGUCAGUAUGGAAAGAUGCAGAAUGAUCCUGUCGCCCCCUCGUCUAAACAUUGGAACAUGUUCACUUAUUUGGAACUUUAGUUUGGCAAUAUUAUGUCCGGCAGCAUGAAAAUGUGCUGGUACAAGCAAUAAAAGGUUUUUCUGUCUCA
This is a long non-coding RNA of Bufo gargarizans (Asiatic toad), 455 nucleotides long. RefSeq lists it as uncharacterized. The transcript has 2 exons. The record is from RefSeq and is a predicted model, not a curated record. NCBI's taxonomy places the organism in Eukaryota, Metazoa, Chordata, Amphibia, Anura, Bufonidae.